GCUGAGUGUAGUGGCGUGUGCUUGUAGUCUCAGCUACUCAGGAGGCAGAAAUGGGAGGAUCACUUGAGCCCGGGAGGUCGAGGCUGUAGUGAGCCAUGUUCGCACUACUGCACUCUAGCCUGGGCAACAAAGUGAGACCCUGUCUCAA
Non-coding RNA from Homo sapiens (human), 148 nucleotides. It matches the Rfam family "Metazoan signal recognition particle RNA". From Rfam's summary of the family: The signal recognition particle (SRP) is a universally conserved ribonucleoprotein. It is involved in the co-translational targeting of proteins to membranes. The eukaryotic SRP consists of a 300-nucleotide 7S RNA and six proteins: SRPs 72, 68, 54, 19, 14, and 9. NCBI's taxonomy places the organism in Eukaryota, Metazoa, Chordata, Mammalia, Primates, Hominidae. The record is from Rfam.